AUAGAUGUAGGGGAGGUGCGUGUAGGUGGGCCAUAUAGAUGUAUUGGUGUAUGGGAGGUGCAUGUAGGUGGGCCAUAUAGAUGUAUGGGAGGUGCGUGUAGGUGGGCCAUAUAGAUGUAGGGGAGGUGCAUGUAGGUGGGCCAUAUAGAUGUAGGGGAGGUGCGUGUAGGUGGGCCAUAUUGAUGUAGGGGAGGUGCGUGUAGGUGGGCCAUAUUGAUGUAGGGGAGGUGCGUGUAGGUGGGCCAUAUAGAUGUAGGGAGGUGCGUGUAGGUGGGCCAUAUAGAUGUAGGGGAGGUGCAUGUAGGUGGGCCAUAUAGAUGUAGGGGAGGUGCAUGUAGGUGGGCCAUAUUGAUGUAGGGGAGGUGCAUGUAGGUGGGCCAUAUUGAUGUAGGGGAGGUGCGUGUAGGUGGGCCAUAUUGAUGUAGGGGAGGUGCGUGUAGGUGGGCCAUAUUGAUGUAGGGGAGGUGCGUGUAGGUGGGCCAUAUAGAUGUAGGGGAGGUGCGUGUAGGUGGGCCAUAUUGAUAUAGGGGAGGUGCGUGUAGGUGGGCCAUAAAGGUGUCUAAUGGGGAAGCAAGAGGAAUCAGGUGCUGCAAAUAACGUGAUUCAAUGGUUCUCUUGUCAAUGACAUCGGGUGUCAUUGUCAGCAUCACACAAACAAACCUUCAUGACAACAUUCUACUACACUGAACAAACAUAAUUGGGGAUAAUAAACAAUUUAGGGCAUAUCUUUUGUGAA
This 736-nucleotide long non-coding RNA is filed under the name Haliotis rubra (blacklip abalone). RNAcentral describes it as "uncharacterized LOC124284707, transcript variant X2". The record is from RNAcentral. Lineage: Eukaryota; Metazoa; Mollusca; Gastropoda; Lepetellida; Haliotidae.